Pan troglodytes (chimpanzee) is the source of this 657-nucleotide long non-coding RNA. RefSeq lists it as uncharacterized. The transcript is spliced from 3 exons. Lineage: Eukaryota; Metazoa; Chordata; Mammalia; Primates; Hominidae. The record is from RefSeq and is a predicted model, not a curated record.
UGGGGGAAGAGCCCUGUGUGGCUUCUGCCAGUGGUGAAUGACUCGAGCUAAUGUGCCUCCACUUACAUGUAUUGAUCGUUUACCUCCCUCUGUUCCCCACACUAGAUCUAUGAGCAAGGAGAAAGAAAAAAGGAGUUCAGGUUUAAACUCUUAUCACUGAAGUUCUGCUGUCCAGGCAGCUGCAGAGGAGUUUAAAGGGCAGCCAUCGUCCCUGGUCAGCCAGCCUGCCAUUAAUAACAUUUGCAUCUGUGACAAUGACAAACCUGCAGUACUUGAAGAGAGUUUAUUAAGCUACUGGACAAAGUUGUCUCUUUGAUCCUCUGCUAAGAAAGUCAAGAAUUGUGGCCUGCAGUGAGGUGCUAAUUGAUGACCAAUCAGAUCAAUGCCUAUUUCAUUAAUCAAGAGUUUCAAAGCAAAAUCCACAUGAAGGAAAGAAACUUUCCUCUCGUUCCCUCUCUGGAAACAGAAGCUUGACUGAUGGAUUCCCCUCCAUGAGUUUGCUUCCACUGAAUAUGGUCCAAACUCUCAUUUGCUGGACAAACUAUUCUGCAGCCCAGUUCAAAUUAAAGGCAAAGUCUUUGGAGCUGGAAGACAGAGGUUCAAGUUCAGCUUCCCCAAGUUGUACAAUGUCUUUGUCAAUAAAAUGGGGCCAAUGAA